RNAcentral lists this ribosomal RNA (420 nucleotides) under Triticum aestivum (bread wheat). RNAcentral's name for it is "partial small subunit ribosomal RNA". The record is from RNAcentral. Lineage: Eukaryota; Viridiplantae; Streptophyta; Magnoliopsida; Poales; Poaceae.
AUGCACUGGCUGUCUUGGGAAAAACUUGCAUCUCCAAAAGUACGUGGUGGAAUGGGUUUUCGUGAUCUCAAGCUAUUUAAUCUUGCGCUCUUGGGCAAACACGGAUGGAGAUUCAUCACAAAUCCUACUUCACUAUGUGCGCGGGUCAUGAAGGGACGUUAUUUCCCUGAUUCUGAAUUUAUGGAGGCUACUGUUCCGCAAUCAGCUUCGGCCAUUUGGCGAGCUAUUGUGGCAGGAAGAGGAGCGCUUCAAACAGAGCUGAUAAAGAGGGUGGGGGCGGGAGCUCUAUUUCCAUUUGGAACGAUCAAUGGAUACCCAGCCUUUCCACUCUUGCCCCAACGGUCAUGCCAGGAGGUACCACACUGGAUAUUGUUGAUGAUCUCAUUGACACUGAUAAUUGGACAUGGCGGCGGGAGCUAA